GGGUCUCGCUCGUUACCUGACUUAACAGGAUGCUUCACAGUACGAACUGACGACGGCCAUGCACCACCUCUCAGCUAAUCCGGCAAAGUCUUCAGCCUGGCCUUCAUAUUGCUGUCGGUCCCGGUAAGAUUUCCGGCGUUGAAUCCAAUUAAACCGCAAGCUCCACCCGUUGUGGUGCUCCCCCGCCAAUUCCUUUAAGUUUCAGCCUUGCGGCCGUACUUCCCAGGUGGCUCGCUUCACGGCUUCCCUACGGCACCGACAACGGUCGCACCGUGGCCGACACCUAGCGAGUAUCGUUUACGGCUAGGACUACCCGGGUAUCUAAUCCGGUUCGUGCCCCUAGCUUUCGUCCCUUGCCGUCAGGUCCGUUCUGGUGAGACGCCUUCGCCACUGGUGGUCCUUCAAGGAUUACAAGAUUUCACCCCUACCCCUGAAGUACCUCUCACCUCUCCCGGCCUCGAGCCAGACAGUAUCUCCUGAAAGCCUGACAGUUAAGCUGCCAGAUUUCUCAAGAGACUUAUCCGGCCGGCUACAGACCCUUUAGACCCAAUAAUAACGGUUACCACUCGAGCCGCCGGUGUUACCGCGGCGGCUGGCACCGGUCUUGCCCGGCCCUUGCUAUGAAAUGCUUUUUAGGCAUCUCGACAGCCAGAUUUGUAACCUGGCACUCGAGGUUCCCUUAUCGCUGUUGCCAGCAUUGUAAAGUUUUCGCGCCUGCUGCACCCCGUAAGGCCUGGAUUCGUGUCUCAGAAUCCAUCUCCGGGCUCUUGCUCUCACAACCCGUACCCGUCGUAGGCUAGUAGGUACGCUACACCCACUACUACCUGAUAGGCCGCAGACCCAUCCUUAGGCGCCGGAGCUUUAAAUCUCGAUGCAUUCCAGCAAUCGAGACCUAUCGGGUAUUAUACCCAGUUUCCCGGGUUUAUCCCCGUCCUAAGGGCAGGUUGUCCACGUGUUACUGAGCAGUUCGCCAUGUAUUGCUACAUUCGACUCGCAUGGCUUAGUCGAACCUCGAUAGCAGUAACCUCUGGCAGGAUCAACCGG
RNAcentral lists this ribosomal RNA (1044 nucleotides) under unidentified archaeon. RNAcentral's name for it is "16S ribosomal RNA". The record is from RNAcentral.